ACGCGAGGAACCUUACCAGGUCUUGACAUCCUCUGACAACUCUGGAGACAGAGCGUUCCCCUUCGGGGGACAGAGUGACAGGUGGUGCAUGGUUGUCGUCAGCUCGUGUCGUGAGAUGUUGGGUUAAGUCCCGCAACGAGCGCAACCCUUGUCCUUAGUUGCCAGCAUUUAGUUGGGCACUCUAAGGAGACUGCCGGUGACAAACCGGAGGAAGGUGGGGAUGACGUCAAAUCAUCAUGCCCCUUAUGACCUGGGCUACACACGUGCUACAAUGGACGGUACAAACGGUUGCCAACCCGCGAGGGGGAGCUAAUCCGAUAAAACCGUUCUCAGUUCGGAUUGUAGGCUGCAACUCGCCUACAUGAAGCCGGAAUCGCUAGUAAUCGCGGAUCAGCAUGCCGCGGUGAAUACGUUCCCGGGCCUUGCACACACCGCCCGU
This 439-nucleotide ribosomal RNA is filed under the name uncultured bacterium. RNAcentral describes it as "bacterial SSU rRNA". It matches the Rfam family "Bacterial small subunit ribosomal RNA", at positions 959 to 1397 of the family's 1533-position model. The record is from RNAcentral.